AUUGCUUCUCAGCCAAUUGACUAAGAUCAAGUGUCAGUAUCUAUUAUUAUCAGUGCAAUAUCUGGUAUGUCUGCUACUUGUGGACUGUUCGUAUUAAAUAUAUUUUUGGAACUGGGAGAUAGAAUAGGAACUUGUUCCAUUCGCUCCCUGCAUCAACUGGGUAUUGCAGUAUUCCAGGAAUAGUGCACCACAA
This is a small nuclear RNA of Podarcis muralis (Common wall lizard), 193 nucleotides long. Its record names the gene U2. It matches the Rfam family "U2 spliceosomal RNA". Rfam says of the family: U2 is a small nuclear RNA (snRNA) component of the spliceosome (involved in pre-mRNA splicing). Complementary binding between U2 snRNA (in an area lying towards the 5' end but 3' to hairpin I) and the branchpoint sequence (BPS) of the intron results the bulging out of an unpaired adenosine, on the BPS, which initiates a nucleophilic attack at the intronic 5' splice site, thus starting the first of two transesterification reactions that mediate splicing. The record is from Ensembl. NCBI's taxonomy places the organism in Eukaryota, Metazoa, Chordata, Lepidosauria, Squamata, Lacertidae.